Molecule: ribosomal RNA, 468 nt
Filed under: uncultured bacterium
Lineage: Bacteria
Description: partial 16S ribosomal RNA
Rfam family: Bacterial small subunit ribosomal RNA
Source: RNAcentral
GACGAACGCUGGCGGCGUGCUUAACACAUGCAAGUCGAACGGAAAGGCCCUGCUUUUGUGGGGUGCUCGAGUGGCGAACGGGUGAGUAACACGUGAGUAACCUGCCCUUGACUUUGGGAUAACUUCAGGAAACUGGGGCUAAUACCGGAUAGGAGCUCCUGCCGCAUGGUGGGGGUUGGAAAGUUUCGGCGGUUGGGGAUGGACUCGCGGCUUAUCAGCUUGUUGGUGGGGUAGUGGCUUACCAAGGCUUUGACGGGUAGCCGGCCUGGGAGGGUGACCGGCCACAUUGGGACUGAGAUACGGCGCAGACUCCUACGGGAGGCAGCAGGCGGGAAUAUUGCACAAUGGGCGGAAGCCUGAUGCAGCAACGCCGCGUGCGGGAUGAAGGCCUUCGGGUUGUAAACCGCUUUCGCCUGUGACGAAGCGUGAGUGACGGUAAUGGGUAAAGAAGCACCGGCUAACUACGUG